UGCAUACUAAUAUACUAUUGCAAAUCCCAUUUUUGAUUUCAUCAAGCUUCAUGUUCAUCUCUUUGUACAUGGAAAAUAAGAUAAAUACCUGGAAACAAAGCACAAUAAAAGGAAGUGGAGUCAGCAGUGUUAUUAGUGGCAGUAACAGGUAUCAACAUCAGUAAGAUCCCAGCGAUGAGUGAGAAAGACCAAUAAAGACCAAGUUGAAUCCCAAAUAGUAUUACCCAAAAACUGACCCCAGAGACUUAAAUUAUCAGCACGGUUUCUAAUUAUCACUAACUAUCAGCUACUCAAAUUUUGUCCUAAAGUGAAUACCAAGAGAUUUCAAAAGAGGUUUCUAAUGGAAUAGUAGUAUCUUUAGUGUUUUUCUGAUUUUUAGGCUCAAGAUGGUUAUCAGGCAAUAAUUUAUCUAUUUUCCUAUAUUUAUGAAUUGCUUUAGCCUUUCUUUUCUCUUUAG
This 457-nucleotide long non-coding RNA is filed under the name Nicotiana benthamiana. RNAcentral's name for it is "long non-coding RNA (NBEN_LNC008445)". The record is from RNAcentral. Lineage: Eukaryota; Viridiplantae; Streptophyta; Magnoliopsida; Solanales; Solanaceae.